CGUGGGUAACCUGCCCAAGAGAUCGGGAUAACACCUGGAAACAGAUGCUAAUACCGGAUAACAACAGAUGAUGCCUAUCAACUGUUUAAAAGAUGGUUCUGCUAUCACUCUUGGAUGGACCUGCGGUGCAUUAGCUAGUUGGUAGGGUAACGGCCUACCAAGGCGAUGAUACAUAGCCGAGUUGAGAGACUGAUCGGCCACAUUGGGACUGAGACACGGACCAAACUCCUACGGGAGGCAGCAGGC
Molecule: ribosomal RNA, 246 nt
Filed under: uncultured Lactobacillus sp.
Lineage: Bacteria; Bacillati; Bacillota; Bacilli; Lactobacillales; Lactobacillaceae
Description: partial 16S ribosomal RNA
Rfam family: Bacterial small subunit ribosomal RNA
Source: RNAcentral